AUACGAAGGGGGCUAGCGUUUUUCGGAAUCACUGGGCGUAAAGCGCGCGUAGGUGGAUCAAUUAGUUGAGGGUGAAAUCCCGGGGCUCAACCUCGGAACUGCCUUCAAUACUGUUGAUCUUGAGACCGAGAGAUGUGAGUGGAAUUCCUAGUGUAGAGGUGAAAUUCGUAGAUAUUAGGAAGAACACCAGUGGCGAAGACGGCUCACUGGCUCGGUACUGACGCUGAGGUGCGAAAGCGUGGGGAGCAAACAGGAUUAGAAACCCUAGUAGUCC
This 274-nucleotide ribosomal RNA is filed under the name uncultured bacterium. RNAcentral describes it as "partial 16S ribosomal RNA". It matches the Rfam family "Bacterial small subunit ribosomal RNA", at positions 523 to 796 of the family's 1533-position model. The record is from RNAcentral.